RNAcentral lists this ribosomal RNA (415 nucleotides) under uncultured bacterium. RNAcentral describes it as "bacterial SSU rRNA". It matches the Rfam family "Bacterial small subunit ribosomal RNA", at positions 89 to 518 of the family's 1533-position model. The record is from RNAcentral.
GGGAAAGCGGCGGACGGGUGAGUAACGCGUAGGCAACCUGCCCUUAGCAGAGGGAUAGCCAUUGGAAACGAUGAUUAAAACCUCAUAACGCUUUGGAGACACAUGUCUUUAAAGCCAAAGAUUUAUCGGCUAAGGAUGGGCCUGCGUCUGAUUAACUGGUUGGUGAGGUAACGGCUCACCAAGGUGACGAUCAGUAGCCGACCUGAGAGGGUGAUCGGCCACAUUGGAACUGAGACACGGUCCAAACUUCUACGGAAGGCAGCAGUAAGGAAUCCUGCACAAUGGGGGAAACCCUUGAUGCAGCAACGCCGCGUGAACGAAGAAGGCCUUCGGGUUGUAAAGUUCUGAUCUUGGGGAAGAAGGAAGUGACGGUACCCAAGGAGAAAGCCCCGGCUAACUACGUGCCAGCAGCAGC